AACGAACGCUGGCGGCAGGCCUAACACAUGCAAGUCGAGCGCCUUAAGCACGUUCGGUGUGGCGGGAGCGGCGGACGGGUUAGUAACGCGUGGGAACGUGCCCAGAGGUAGGGAACAACUGCUGGAAACGGCAGCUAAUACCCUAUGAGCCCGUACGGGGGAAAGAUUUAUCGCCUUUGGAUCGGCCCGCGUUGGAUUAGCUAGUUGGUGGGUAAUGGCCCACCAAGGCGACGAUCCAUAGCUGGUUUGAGAGGAUGAUCAGCAACACUGGGACUGAGACACGGCCCAGACUCCUACGGGAGGCAGCAGUGGGGAAUCUUGGACAAUGGGGGCAACCCUGAUCCAGCCAUGCCGCGUGAGCGAUGAAGGCCUUAGGGUUGUAAAGCUCUUUCACCGGUGAAGAUAAUGACGGUAGCCGGAGAAGAAGCCCCGGCUAACUCCGUG
RNAcentral lists this ribosomal RNA (444 nucleotides) under uncultured bacterium. RNAcentral's name for it is "bacterial SSU rRNA". It matches the Rfam family "Bacterial small subunit ribosomal RNA", at positions 29 to 507 of the family's 1533-position model. The record is from RNAcentral.